RNAcentral lists this ribosomal RNA (440 nucleotides) under uncultured bacterium. RNAcentral describes it as "partial 16S ribosomal RNA". It matches the Rfam family "Bacterial small subunit ribosomal RNA", at positions 338 to 795 of the family's 1533-position model. The record is from RNAcentral.
CCUACGGGUGGCUGCAGUGGGGGAUAUUGCACAAUGGGGGGAACCCUGAUGCAGCGACGCCGCGUGGGGGAAGAAGCGCCUCGGCGCGUAAAGCCCUGUCAGCAGGGAAGAAAAUGAAGGUACCUGAUGAAGAAGCCACGGCUAACUACGUGCCAGCAGCCGCGGUAAUACGUAGGGGGCAAGCGCUAUCCGGAUUUACUGGGUGUACAGUGGGCGCGGACGGCGAGGCAAGACAGGAGUGAAAGCCCGGGGCCCAACCCCGGGACUGCUCUUGGAACUGCGUGGCUGGAGUGCAGGAGGGGCAGGUGGAAUUCCAGGUGUAGCGGUGAAAUGCGUAGAUAUCAGGAGGAACACCGGUGGCGAAGGCGGCCUGCUGGACUGCAACUGACGUUGAGGCCCGAAAGCGUGGGGAGCAAACAGGAGUAGAUACCCCAGUAGUC